CGCUGGCGGCGUGCUUAACACAUGCAAGUCGAACGGAAAGGCCCUGCUUUUGUGGGGUGCUCGAGUGGCGAACGGGUGAGUAACACGUGAGUAACCUGCCCUUGACUUUGGGAUAACUUCAGGAAACUGGGGCUAAUACCGGAUAGGAGCUCCUGCUGCAUGGUGGGGGUUGGAAAGUUUCGGCGGUUGGGGAUGGACUCGCGGCUUAUCAGCUUGUUGGUGGGGUAGUGGCUUACCAAGGCUUUGACGGGUAGCCGGCCUGAGAGGGUGACCGGCCACAUUGGGACUGAGAUACGGCCCAGACUCCUACGGGAGGCAGCAGUGGGGAAUAUUGCACAAUGGGCGGAAGCCUGAUGCAGCAACGCCGCGUGCGGGAUGACGGCCUUCGGGUUGUAAACCGCUUUCGCCUGUGACGAAGCGUGAGUGACGGUAAUGGGUAAAGAAGCACCGGCUAACUACGUGCCAGCAGCCGCGGUGAUACGUAGGGUGCGAGCGUUGUCCGGAUUUAUUGGGCGUAAAGGGCUCGUAGGUGGUUGAUCGCGUCGGAAGUGUAAUCUUGGGGCUUAACCCUGAGCGUGCUUUCGAUACGGGUUGACUUGAGGAAGGUAGGGGAGAAUGGAAUUCCUGGUGGAGCGGUGGAAUGCGCAGAUAUCAGGAGGAACACCAGUGGCGAAGGCGGUUCUCUGGGCCUUUCCUGACGCUGAGGAGCGAAAGCGUGGGGAGCGAACAGGCUUAGAUACCCUGGUAGUCCACGCUGUAAACGGUGGGUACUAGGUGUGGGGUCCAUUCCACGGGUUCCGUGCCGUAGCUAACGCUUUAAGUACCCCGCCUGGGGAGUACGGCCGCAAGGCUAAAACUCAAAGGAAUUGACGGGGCCCCGCACAAGCGGCGGAGCAUGCGGAUUAAUUCGAUGCAACGCGUAGAACCUUACCUGGGUUUGACAUGGAUCGGGAGUGCUCAGAGAUGGGUGUGCCUCUUUUGGGGUCGGUUCACAGGUGGUGCAUGGCUGUCGUCAGCUCGUGUCGUGAGAUGUUGGGUUAAGUCCCGCAACGAGCGCAACCCUUGUUCACUGUUGCCAGCACGUUAUGGUGGGGACUCAGUGGAGACCGCCGGGGUCAACUCGGAGGAAGGUGGGGAUGACGUCAAGUCAUCAUGCCCCUUAUGUCCAGGGCUUCACGCAUGCUACAAUGGCUGGUACAGAGAGUGGCGAGCCUGUGAGGGUGAGCGAAUCUCGGAAAGCCGGUCUCAGUUCGGAUUGGGGUCUGCAACUCGACCUCAUGAAGUCGGAGUCGCUAGUAAUCGCAGAUCAGCAACGCUGCGGUGAAUACGUUCCCGGGGCUUGUACACACCGCCCGUCAAGUCAUGAAAGUUGGUAACACCCGAAGCCGGUGGCAUAACCGUUGUGGGGGAGCCGUCGAAGGUGGGACUGGUGAUU
This 1435-nucleotide ribosomal RNA is filed under the name uncultured organism. Its description in RNAcentral is "16S ribosomal RNA". It matches the Rfam family "Bacterial small subunit ribosomal RNA". The record is from RNAcentral.